ACCUUAUACUUGCAAAGACAAAUGUGAAGGAGUUGUAAACUGGAAUUGUACGUGCUUGGAAUUUACCUAAUAUGGAUAGAUAUGUAUCAUAUGUUGUAGGGGGAAUAUAUAUCCAUAGCAAAAUGUACCGUUAAAAUACAAAACAAAAAAUUGAUAAACCAAAAAAAUAAAUAAAAAGGAGGAGAGGGUAUGCGUAGUGCACACCCAUGGUUUACCAUGAGAUUUAACAGUUAAUCCCCACCUCAACAAGCUAUUCUUGGGCAGAUGGCAACUUGGCACAGAAACCAUGCCAUAUUCGUUGCUUAUUAAGCUAAAUAUUUGGACCUUUUAAAUACCCACAAAAAUUAAUUUAUUCAUAAAAACAAUAAAACUAAAACCAAUACAACAACAACAAGAAGAAUCACAGAGUUCAAACUUUUUCUGAUAACCAAUUCCUCUCCGAAUUGAAAAAGGUUUUAUAAAGCAUAUAGCAUCAUGAGAUUCAAAAGUGGAAGCAGCGUGGAAGUAUUGAGCAAAAAGGAGAUGCCUUCAGGCUCCUGGUGCUGUGCCAAGAUAAUCUGUGGUAACGGCCACAACUACACUGUUAGAUAUGAUGGAUUUGAGGGUGCCUCUGAUCAGGCCGCUGUCGAGAGGGUACCCAGAAAUGCAAUUAGGCCUUGCCCUCCUCCACUGGAAGUGUCAGAGAAUUGGGUUCCUGGUGAUCUCGUCGAGGUUUUUGACAACUUUUCUUGGAAAAUGGCAACAAUUUCAAAGGUUUUUGGAAAGCAGUACUUUUUAGUCAGGCUACUUGGAUCCUCCCAAGAAUUUAAGGUCGGAAAAUUUGAAAUCCGAGUCAGACAGUUUUGGCAAGAUGACAAAUGGGUUGUGAUUGGAAAGGGUUUGAACAAUUAUGAGUAUGGAAAGCGUGGUGAAACUUUAACUCUAAAGUACAACCAAAGUUCUUGUCUCAAAGCUCAGAAGAAUGAAACGCACGUUGCCUCCUCUCAUAAUCUGAAGAGAAGAUCGCCCUACUUGUAUUCCCAAGAUGUAGCAUAUAAUGGAUCUGCUGAGAAGUUUAGAGCUGUUGAAAGAGAGGGCAAGCGUCUCCGAGUAAUUUCUGCUAAUUUAUGCACAUUUUCUGAACAGGUAGAUGUUGCGUUACCAAGACAUAUGCAGGGUGGAAAAGAAAUACGUGCUUCUCUUAACAACAGAACAACUGUAUUUUCUGAUGUGGAUAUGGAAAGAAGGAAACCAAGUGGUGACGUUGGGUGUUUCUUUGCUGUUAACUUAAGGUUGAAUGAUGCUGAUAGUGUGACAUGCUCUGUUGGUAGUUGUAGUAUCGGUAGCAAUGAUUCCUAUAAGUCACCUCCUCCUGUUUCUGCUAGUUCUACUGAAGAUUUUGAUGAUCAGUUAUCUGAUGCUGAAUCUAUUUGUCAAUUGGGAUAUGAGGAAGGAAACUCUCUCCUUCCUGCAAAGGAAGAAUUGGCGGCUGAGAUCCAUAGGUUAGAGUUGCAUGCCUACCGUUGCACGAUAGGGGCAUUACAUGCGUCAGGACCUUUAAGUUGGGAACAAGAAGAAUUGGGCCGAACUAGGAGGCUUGUCGCCUUUCUUUCAAGUCUCCAAAGAUGAUCUUGGGGCUUGCCAGCUUUCUCUCGGUCUAGACGCGAGGGUAAUUAUUAUAGGACAGCUUCUGAUUCUUCUUUUCUCAUUAACAUAUCUGGUCUCUUCAUUCUUCCAUGUCAGGCCACCUGUGAGCCUUAGAUAACUGUUUUGCUGAAGGAUGUAAGACAAGAAUCUUGUGGCUGACACAGGAUGACCUGAGAUGUGGAUGCUUUAAAGGUUUUAUUUCAAACCUUUGCCUCAGCACAUCCGCAUAUAACUUAUUUGACUUGCUGAUAUCUCUCUUAUUCUCAAUCUGCUAGAAAUUUAUAAUGUGAACGCAGUUGCAUUUCGUGACAUUCUUUGUUUAUAUGGUUUACUGCUGUUUAUAUUUGGUUGUGUGAUAUUCUCUUUUUCAUUUAGGCGGGGAAGGUUAUAAGUUUAUGAAGCCUAGUCAAGGGUCUUUCAAUUUUAAAAGUAUAGUUCAAAAUAUUGUAAUUUUCCAUAAGCAUGGGCAGUCAAUCUAUUUUCAAGCUUAAAGUUUCCAUCAAACAGGUAAACAUUGUUAAUUAAGAUGUGUGAUAUUGUCCAGAAGUUUUGUAUUGGGAGUGGUUUCAAACUCUAAUCUCUAAUCUGCAAACCAGGAAUGAAUUUGUCAACUCUCUGGGUGUAAGCAGUAAGAAGAUAUCAAUGUCCUGAUUAUAGGCCUCUGGACUGCCCUACAGCUCUUGAAUUCUUUGUGAUGAUUGCAGUAUUUAUAGCAUAUCACAAACUUUUUGCUUGCUCCUGGUUGACACAGAUUGUCAGCCAUAUUCUUUUACUGCAAGUUUUGAACUGAGCAGAUGCUUUGUACGUGAAAUAUAUAUUAGCUUGGUUUGAAUACCAUAAAGCUGUGACUGGUGUCCACCGCCCAUCAAAUUUUUGAAUUUGAUGCAAUUGUUCCAAGGAUCUUGAGCAUGUGAUGAUGACAUCAUAUCCCUUGGAGUUGCUCUUAGCAACUCAAAAUGAUUCUGCUAAUCUGUGCUCAGUUUGUACUUUCACCCCCUGCCAUUGUUUGGUCUCUCAACUUAACAUGUCCUGUCGUUAAUUUGUUUUUAUCACCAGAGAAGAGAAGCUGGUGUAGCUACUGUUCAUGAGGAGGUUGCUUGUACUUUAUUUGUAUAUCUUGUGAAGAUUUUCAGAGCAUGCGAAAGGACAACGAAGAUUUUCAUAUCAAGUGUUUUUGAAACCAAGCAAAUUCAU
Prunus persica (peach) is the source of this 2820-nucleotide RNA transcript. RefSeq lists it as uncharacterized. The transcript is spliced from 5 exons. Lineage: Eukaryota; Viridiplantae; Streptophyta; Magnoliopsida; Rosales; Rosaceae. The record is from RefSeq and is a predicted model, not a curated record.